CUGAGUUGCAAGACUCCCAAACCACUGUGAACCUUACCAAACGUUGCUUCGGCGGAUCCGCCCCGGCGCUCUCGCGACCGGAACCAGGCGCCCGCCGGGGGAAACACAAACCCUUUGAAACUCUGUGGAUUAUCUGAGUGGCGAAAGCACAAAUACAAUCA
RNAcentral lists this unclassified non-coding RNA (161 nucleotides) under uncultured Nectria. Its description in RNAcentral is "sequence contains ITS1". The record is from RNAcentral. Lineage: Eukaryota; Fungi; Ascomycota; Sordariomycetes; Hypocreales; Nectriaceae.